This 468-nucleotide ribosomal RNA is filed under the name uncultured bacterium. Its description in RNAcentral is "partial 16S ribosomal RNA". It matches the Rfam family "Bacterial small subunit ribosomal RNA", at positions 28 to 507 of the family's 1533-position model. The record is from RNAcentral.
GAUGAACGCUGGCGGCGUGCUUAACACAUGCAAGUCGAACGGAAAGGCCAGUGCUUGCACUGGUACUCGAGUGGCGAACGGGUGAGUAACACGUGGGUGAUCUGCCCUGCACUUCGGGAUAAGCCUGGGAAACUGGGUCUAAUACCGGAUAGGACAAUGGUUUGGAUGCCGUUGUGGAAAGUUUUUUCGGUGUGGGAUGAGCUCGCGGCCUAUCAGCUUGUUGGUGGGGUAAUGGCCUACCAAGGCGUCGACGGGUAGCCGGCCUGAGAGGGUGUACGGCCACAUUGGGACUGAGAUACGGCCCAGACUCCUACGGGAGGCAGCAGUGGGGAAUAUUGCACAAUGGGCGCAAGCCUGAUGCGGCGACGCCGCGUGGGGGAUGACGGCCUUCGGGUUGUAAACUCCUUUCGCUAGGGACGAAGCGUAUUUGUGACGGUACCUGGAGAAGAAGCACCGGCUAACUACGUG